RNAcentral lists this ribosomal RNA (709 nucleotides) under Epistephium sp. Chase O-433. Its description in RNAcentral is "eukaryotic LSU rRNA". The stretch from base 287 to 441 matches the Rfam family "5.8S ribosomal RNA". Lineage: Eukaryota; Viridiplantae; Streptophyta; Magnoliopsida; Asparagales; Orchidaceae. The record is from RNAcentral.
UUCUGUAGGUGAACUGCGGAAGGUCAUUGUCGAGAACAUUAAAUGUCCCGGCGAGGAGCGCAAGUCGUGUGAUGGAUCGACGAAGCAAGGUAUGGACGCCUUGCAUCGCCUUCGACGCGCGGGCGCUUUGCCUCCAAAGUUUGCCAGUGCGGCCUUCGGGAAAAGACAAUAAUAAUGGGCACAGCUGUUGUGCCAAGGGAAGAGUAGACUAUCACCUCACGGCAUCCCUCCUUUGUGCGCAUUCAUGAGGUUUGGCGAGGCGGGGCGUUAUGUCCCUUGACUGUACGACUCUCGGCAACGGAUAUCUUGGCUCUCGCAUCGAUGAAGAACGCAGCGAAAUGCGAUAAGUGUUGCGAAUUGCAGAAUCCCCGUGAACCAUCCAUUUCUUGAAUUCAAGUGCGCCCGAGGAUGCUAUCCGAGGGCACACCCGCAUGGCCGUGAUGCGUUACCUCGCUCCUUGCACGGGAUCCUUUCGUCGCAGACAAAUGGCUCACGUGAACGUGCUUGGAAGCGAUAAAUGACCCCCCCCACCGUGGUCGCGUGACGGGUGUCAAGUCCGAGGAGAUUGUGGGACUCUGAAUCGACAGGCGGUGGAACGUCUUCCGUUGGAUUCAGGGCGACUGUAGCUUCGUACGUUGCGACAUCUGGCUCUCCUAAACCCUGCCCAAGCGAUGCCUGUGCCAUCGUCACCCAAUCAGCGAGCUAGCCC